RNAcentral lists this ribosomal RNA (253 nucleotides) under uncultured bacterium. RNAcentral's name for it is "partial 16S ribosomal RNA". It matches the Rfam family "Bacterial small subunit ribosomal RNA", at positions 524 to 776 of the family's 1533-position model. The record is from RNAcentral.
UACGUAGGGUGCAAGCGUUGUCCGGAAUUAUUGGGCGUAAAGAGCUCGUAGGCGGUCUGUCGCGUCUGCUGUGAAAACCUGGGGCUUAACCCCGGGCCUGCAGUGGGUACGGGCAGACUAGAGUGUGGUAGGGGAGACUGGAAUUCCUGGUGUAGCGGUGAAAUGCGCAGAUAUCAGGAGGAACACCGGUGGCGAAGGCGGCCUGCUGGGCAGUAGCUGACGCUGAAGCGCGACAGCGUGGGGAGCAAACAGG